This 467-nucleotide ribosomal RNA is filed under the name uncultured bacterium. RNAcentral's name for it is "partial 16S ribosomal RNA". The stretch from base 13 to 373 matches the Rfam family "Bacterial small subunit ribosomal RNA", at positions 40 to 399 of the family's 1533-position model. The record is from RNAcentral.
GACGAACGCUGGCGGCGUGCUUAACACAUGCCAGUCGAACGGAAAGGCCCUGCUUUUGUGGGGUGCUCGAGUGGCGAACGGGUGAGUAACACGUGAGUAACCUGCCCUUGACUUUGGGAUAACUUCAGGAAACUGGGGCUAAUACCGGAUAGGAGCUCCUGCUGCAUGGUGGGGGUUGGAAAGUUUCGGCGGUUGGGGAUGGACUCGCGGCUUAUCAGCUUGUUGGUGGGGUAGUGGCUUACCAAGGCUUUGACGGGUAGCCGGCCUGAGAGGGUGACCGGCCAAAUGGGGAGGGAGAGAGGGACCGAACACAAACGGGAGGGAGGGAGGGGGAUAAUAGAAAAAGGGGGGGAAGCCGGAUGGAGCAACGACGGGGGGGGGAGGGGGGCAUGGGGGUUGAAAACCGAUUUCGCCUGGGAGGAAGGGUGAGGAAAGGAAAGGGGUAAAAAAGCACGGGCAAACUAGGG